ACGUUAUGCCGUCUGGUUAUCGACAUCAUGUACGGAGAAGUUUGCACACGAUCUUUCGGGCAACGCGCCACGAGUAAUCCUAUUUGAGUCUGAUCGUUGAGCCUCGACUACACGUGAGCCGGUCGUGAUACACGCUAAAAUUAUAUACAUACAUAUAUAAGUACUUUCUCGUACACACAUCUCUCCAGUAGCAACUGCUUCUCGGAUUCUUGUGAAUUUUCGCGACUCAACCAUCGUUUACGCAUGUUCUUCGACAAAAUUUCGUCUUCAGUGGAAAACCGAGGGAAAUAUCGUGAACGAUGGGGAAAUUUUGGGAUGAAUUUUGUGUAGCAAAACCGUUCGUAUACCAGCAGCGUUGUAUACCUAUUUUAAUGCAUAAUGCAGGUAACUCGAGUCCUUACGAGCGAAAUAAUUCCCAUCAUAACCAGUUUUUCUGUGAUGUAACGUUAUAUGAAUAUAAAUAUCACGAGUCUCCUAGAAAUAGCAAAGGAGCUGGAAAUAAGAUGCAAAAUGAGUAUCGAGCGUUUAUAGCGCAACGUAUAUUAAAAAUUUCUCUAAUAUUCUCCUUUUAUAGGCUUACAGCGAAAAUACGUACCUCUACGUAUAUAAGAAUUGUAAUUAAAUGUUCCCGUUAAUCAUGUGAAUUAAUACUUAUAACAGACGCGUCUCCUUACAAGUUAAAUAUGAAAAAUUCAGACGCUCAGGAUAUAACAAAGCUUUAUGCAAAGGCGCACACCAAACAAGUGGACUAAGAUUUGUGAAAAUUCCAGAACAGGGAAUUAUUGGAAAAUGUUUACUUUGGCAAAAAGUGACAAUUUAAAUGCGCAAGAGAAUAUCUUUUUAACGAAUGCUUGGACCCACGAGAAUCUUAAAUUGACUAAAAGCGAGCGUUGCUCAAUUUUACGAAUUUUUACACGACAAUACGUUCUGGGAUGAUUCAACUACUAGAAGAAGACAAUAUCUUCCUCUAAAGUCCAUUUGUCAUGAAAUCUUCGAUUACGACUAAUGAAAACAUUAACAUGCACAACUAUCAGAGUUUUCUUUCCGUGAACGAACAUCUGAAUGAAAUAAAUUGAAACGGACGAAAUUAAGUAACAAAAAUUCUAUGU
Molecule: unclassified non-coding RNA, 1109 nt
Filed under: Bombus terrestris (buff-tailed bumblebee)
Lineage: Eukaryota; Metazoa; Arthropoda; Insecta; Hymenoptera; Apidae
Description: misc RNA ENSBTSG00005025135.1
Source: RNAcentral